UUGGCCUUUACUGUCUUUUGAGCGGAGGCCGACCUUGGGCCUGGCUGCGGUGUAGGCUCGUCCACCCAGCCGUCUCUGCGCGGUCCGACCGCUGGAAGCCCGGAGGGGCUCAGAAGUUUUCAUUUGGGGUCGGGAAAGGCCUUGAACUUGCUCAGAGUUAUGGGGUGAAGCCACAGAUUUCUGGAGGCAUUUGGGGGACGUGAAGAACGUCAAAGGCAAAUUGGUGCUGGCAGUUACUAUGUUGUGGUUUUCACCUGCGGUCAAACCUCAGAUAAAGAAACUGACUAGAGAAACAACUCGAGGGAUGGAGAUGUGGACAACUAAGCUGACAUCUGCCUCUCCAGGAUCUUAUCUUGUGUAUAGUAGUCCCUCUGUGGAUGUUGGUGGGAUGAAUAGAUGAAAGAGGAGCACAUAGAGGCUGGAUUCGAUGGAGAAUCACCCUGAAGAUCCUUAGCUGUGCCUCUUCUCUCUGGGGCUGGGGUGCAGCUGGAGGGACUGGAGGCUGUCUGCAGAGAAAUCUGAUCUUCUGCCAGCGUGAAGGCAGCUGCCCAAGACUUGUCACCAGCCAACAGGAUGGAGGAAGUCAAUGGUGAAAAACAAUGUGGGUAGAUUCCUACAAACUCACCCUCAUCAGUUGAAAGAAGAAAGGACUCAAAGCUUGUAAUCAAAGCCUGGGACA
This is a long non-coding RNA of Lagenorhynchus albirostris (white-beaked dolphin), 679 nucleotides long. RefSeq lists it as uncharacterized. The transcript has 3 exons. The record is from RefSeq and is a predicted model, not a curated record. Lineage: Eukaryota; Metazoa; Chordata; Mammalia; Artiodactyla; Delphinidae.